UAUUCUGCCAAAAUCACAAGGAAAGCAGCACCCAUUUAUUCUUUGAAUGCAGUAUAACUAGCAGGAUAUGGUUUGCUAUACUGAGAUGGCAUAAGAGAAAUAAAAAUUAUAAGGAAUGAGAUGCAGUAUGAAAAUGGGUGAGUAAGCAGUCUGCUGAGAAAAAUGUAAGAGGGAAGAUCUUAAAAGCCAGUCUAGCUGCAGUGGUGUAUAACAUUAUGGAUCAAAAGGAAUGCUCGGAUAUUUCAGAAGAAGACUACAACAGAUGAAGAAUUAAUUCGAAAGGUGAAAAUUGAUUUAUGUACUAGAGACUAGAGUGAGAGCAAAUAGUAGCUUAUUUUCAUACAUAUGCUCCUGUAGUAGAAGGGAUUAUGUAAUUUUGUUUUCUCUUUAGAAGAAAGUGUAGAAGUAGGAAAAAGAAUGAGAUGGUUAUGGCACUCAUCGGAGAUGU
This 448-nucleotide long non-coding RNA is filed under the name Capsicum annuum. RNAcentral describes it as "long non-coding RNA (CANN_LNC019817)". Lineage: Eukaryota; Viridiplantae; Streptophyta; Magnoliopsida; Solanales; Solanaceae. The record is from RNAcentral.